Molecule: unclassified non-coding RNA, 765 nt
Filed under: Zea mays
Lineage: Eukaryota; Viridiplantae; Streptophyta; Magnoliopsida; Poales; Poaceae
Description: misc RNA Zm00001eb202230
Source: RNAcentral
UCCUUCUCAUGCAAGAAGAUAUACUCAAUUUCUACUCUCUUCUAUCAGUCUUCUCACUCCUAUCUCUCAUGUCUCCUUUUCCUCCCACCAUUCCUGUCACCCACGCAGCACGCCAGAGCAGCAGUAGCUGUAGAGCUCGGCAUCAGCUCUCUUGCUGCUCACUUUGCAGCACCUCCCCGGCUCCCUAGUAACACUCUGCACCUACCAUCGAACUCUCUCAGGUUCGGUCAUCCCUGCUCCCUUGCAAAUCAGCGCCCCUCCACUCGGCUCUGCUACUGUGCCGUGCGCGCGAUUCCUCCGGCUUCCAUCGCUGCGUGCGUGCUCAUCUUCCGUCGCAUGCCACCUGCUCGAUAGAACGAGUAGUUUGAUCGUCCCCAUCUCCCCGUGGUUCGUCAUCGCCAAGUUUUCAGAGCUCCCAACAGAAGGAGUGAAGAUUCUAGAUGAAGUGGUAGCUGAAGAGGUGUUUGCUCCAGUGCCUGUUCAUCAAGUGGAUGGAGCCAUCUAACUGGUUAUUUUGAUAGAAGAAUCUAGAACCUCUUCUCUGCAACAAAAGGAAGGGUUAUUGCUACCUUUAGCUCUUGAUAGUUGUUUUGUGUGGAGGUCUUGAAGAUUUUAAUACUUAGGUGUAUUUCUUCUGGAAAGGCUUCACCUUUCCCUAUUGUGUAAUAAGUUAUGCACUUUGAGUACUAUCAGGACUUGUAAUAAUUACAACUCUUUCUAUGAUGUAAAGCUUGAGAUUUGGAAUUGUAAAAUAUGUUUUGUAAA